Long non-coding RNA from Scylla paramamosain (green mud crab), 714 nucleotides. RefSeq lists it as uncharacterized. The transcript has 2 exons. The record is from RefSeq and is a predicted model, not a curated record. Lineage: Eukaryota; Metazoa; Arthropoda; Malacostraca; Decapoda; Portunidae.
CACAACGUGAUGCCUUGAGGAGUCGUCUGUAAUUUAGUAUAAUUGGAGCUUGAGGUGUGCGUCGAUGAUUUGGUACUGAGGAAGUGAAGACGUGACCAGGCUUAGGUCAGAGCACUGAGAGGACUGCGGUCAGUCAUGCAGUAACUUAGUUGUGAGACAGCGUGGCUCACUGGACACUGCCCUGUGUCGACCCAAGGACGGGCUAUUGGAGAAUGUGGGUUAUUCUCUCGUUCAAAUCUUGCUGUUGGCCGUGUGUUAAAGGAUGCACGGAAAUGAGUUAGCAGCCAACGGCGACCGGUUGCCAAGUGGACGAGUAGGGCCGAGUGGUGUCAGCGUGAGGGCAGUGUAGCUGAUCGUGUGGAAAGUGGGGUGCCAACUCCACUGGUUCUAAUUACAAGUCUGAUUGUAGUGCCGGACUGGAGCAACAAAUAUGCCCAUUGGAUCAAGAGUGUGUAGUGCACUGAUGUGAGUAAUGUUAACUGGAAAUAUAAAUAAGGAUUGAGACAAAAUGGUAUAUUAUGUUCCUUGUUACGUGGCACGGAUUGCUACAAUCUCCGGCUACUCCUAGUUACGAGUAGAUGCCUGCCUUUCAGUGUGGUCAACGCCAGGACACACCAGGUUUCCUUUAACAUUCUCUCUCUCUCUCUCUCUCUCUCUCUCUCUCUCUCUCUCUCUCUCUCUCUCUCUCUCUCUCUCUGUAAAACAAUAUAAAAA